RNAcentral lists this ribosomal RNA (212 nucleotides) under Trithemis dorsalis. RNAcentral describes it as "partial 28S ribosomal RNA". It matches the Rfam family "Eukaryotic large subunit ribosomal RNA", at positions 665 to 835 of the family's 3401-position model. The record is from RNAcentral. Lineage: Eukaryota; Metazoa; Arthropoda; Insecta; Odonata; Libellulidae.
ACCAAGGAGUCUAACAUGCGCGCGAGUCGUUGGGUCGGACACGCUCCGCUAAACCCAUAGGCGCAAUGAAAGUGAAGGUUUCCCUUGCGGGACCGAGGGAGGACGGAGCCGCCUAGCCGCGGCUCCCGCACUCCCGGGGCGUCUGAUUCCUCUUUUUGAGGGAAGGCGCACCCAGAGCGCACACGUUGGGACCCGAAAGAUGGUGAACUAUA